CCGCGGUGGCGGAACUGGCAGACGCGCUAGCCUUAGGAGCUAGUCCCAUUUUUUUGGGGUGGGGGUUCAACUCCCUUCCGCGGCA
This 85-nucleotide transfer RNA is filed under the name bacterium. RNAcentral describes it as "tRNA-Leu". It matches the Rfam family "tRNA". From Rfam's summary of the family: Transfer RNA (tRNA) molecules are approximately 80 nucleotides in length. The record is from RNAcentral.